GUAAGAUCAUUGUGCAGGCAGGCAGUUGUUUUGAUCCUAGAUGUGUCCCGUCCUCUCGGGUUUUGUUUUGGCAUUAGGCUUUCCACCUGCCUCAUCCAUCUUAUAAACGUUUCUGUUUAAUGGUUGAUUUACAGCUUUGAAACUCAGAGGAAUGGACUGGUGUUUAUCUAUGACAUGUGUGGUUCUAAUUAUGCCAACUUCGAGCUGGAUCUUGGCAAGAAAGUCCUAAACCUGCUGAAGAGUCCAGGUCCUCUGCCAGAAACCAGCACGUGAUCACAUCUCAGGCGUCCUUCCGGGGAAGAAGUUGUGCAGGUGUCACUGCUGUUACAGGAAGAAGGAGCGCUGAAAAGAAAGAAGGAGCAGAAGAAAAUGUUUCUUCUUUCUGGUUUUCUGGAGUGUCGUCAUGGAGGGCUGGAGAGAGGGGAUGAGACAGAAACCUCAGGGACGGCGUGAGGCUCCAGAGCUUCCCUCUCCUCCCGCUGUUGUGGGGUCCCUGGCUGCCAGAGGCUCCUUCACCCCACCAGUGCCCAGCCCAGCUCAGCGUCUCUGCCUGACUCAACCCACUCCUCCCUCUGCUGCUCAUCAGAAUCCGAGAGCAGCGGCUCGCAGCCCGCAGCGCUGUGUGGAUGGUGGGGCUGCCGGGGCAGAAACCGGGAGAAACAGAGAGGAGCUGCUCAGUGCCAGGUGUGGCUGGGGGCUCCCGGGGGAGGAGGACCCAGCUUUGUGGCCAAGGCCGAGGCCAUGGCUGCCGGCUGGAUGCUCGAUUUCUCCGAGGACCCUCGCCCAACCUGCGACAGCGCCGAGGCUGUUCUUCACGGACUGUCGAGUCCAACCGCUUAUCGAUUGAGAACUGUAUACAUGUGUCAGUUUUUGACAAGAAUUGCAGCAGGAAAAAACUUGGAUGCACAGUUUGAAAAUGACGAACGAAUUGGAACAGCCCUGAUGAGCUGGGGUUCAAUUGAAAAGGAAAAGGACGAACUUCACGAAGAAAUACAGAAUUUAAUAGAAACUGAGGCUAUCGCUGUUUGUAUGGAAAAUGGGCAACUUUAAAGAAGCAGAAGUCUUUGAAAGAAUAUUUGGUGAUCCAAAUUCUUACAUGCCUUUAAAAAGGAAAUUGCUUAUGAUAAUCUCUCAGAAAGAUACGUUUCAUUACUUUUUUUCAACACUUCAGCUACAACUGCAUGAUGGAGAAAAUGAAGAGUUAUGUGAAUUAUGUGCUAAGUGAAAAAUCAUCCACCUUUCUAAUGAAGGCAGCAGCAAAAGCCUAGAAAGUAAAAGAGCAAGAACAAUAACUUCUCAAGACAAACCCAAUGGUAAUGAUGUUGAAAUGGAAACUGAAGCUAAUUUGGAUACAAGAAAAAGGUCGCAUGAGAAUCUUUUCUUAUCUAGGUUGAAACAUGGAACCCAGCAACGAGACCUUCAAAAGAAAGAAAUAAAGAAGAGUAGGAACUCUUCAAAGUGCGAGAAAGAAAAAAGAAAGCAGAAGAGCCAUUGAAAGUAGGAUACCUGUAUCAAAGGGUCAACUGGUGACCCCGGAAAAGCACUGAGCUAGAAAAAGACAGGUGUGGCUUUGGGAAGAAGACAAGAAUUUGAGAUCUUGAAUGAGGAAAUUUGGAGAGGGUAACAUCUCAAAUACUGUUGCAAUAUAAAUUCAACGACCUGACAAAUGUCCUGUUAAAAGGCACAAUGAAGAAACUAAAAUGGAUUUGCUUAGACAGUGAAGACUGUGCUUGUAAAACUUGGUGAAAGGAUGAUUACGUAUUUUCAUCACUACAUUUUGUUUGAAACUUGCAUCGUUGAUAUAUUUUCAACCUUUAAAUCAUUACAGUAUUUUUCUGUGACUGUCAAUUGAGGAUUUGUGCUGGAAGAGUUAAAGUAUAUGCUUUCGUAUUCUUUAAGAACUUGAUUUUGAUAAACUGUAAAUUUGUUGAAGCCCACCACAUUUAGCAUUCCCACACCCAAAUCCUGUUCCAGUGAAAAAAUUAAAAGCUGAUAUAAAAACUUUUAAUUAACCUAUUUUGUAUCUGUAGGCUGACCUCAACCAUGUAACGUAACCCAUUAAAAUGAAUUUGCUAGAUGAUUGAAUAACAAUAGUCCUUUGGUAUGAGAUCAUGACUUGGCUUAUGGCCUUAAUAUGCUACUUAAUUACUUAAGACUUGUAUUAAUAGAAUGAUAAAUGUACAAAGUAACCGAUAAGCAUGACAUACUUUUGCUUUCAAUGGUUUCAUGUAAAGAAAAAACACUUGAACACAAUAAUACUCAAGGACACAAGUGAACAAUAGACACUGGGAAGGGUGGAUGGGAGCGAGAGCUGAAAACUGCCUACUGGGUGCUCUGCUCACUACCUGGGUGAUGGGAUCAUCCGUGUCCCAAACCUCAGCAGUGCACAGUGUACCCAGCUAAGAAACCUGCCCAUGUGUUCCCUGAAUCUAAAAUAAAAAUAAAUUUUAUUAGUACCCAUGGAACAAAAUUUGUACUGUUAGCAAGACUCACUUUCUGUCUCACUUGGAAACAAUUUGACUUUUGUUCCAGUGUUUAAACUUUGACAAAAAUGGUUUUGAAUAGAUCUGUAUAACCUGAUACCAUAAAUAUAAUAUAACCUGAUACCAUAAUAUAAGAUUCUCUGAUACAUUCAUUUAAUAUAUCAAUAUUGAGCCAAAAACAAUAUUCUGUAAGGCUUAAAUAGCUAUUGACUAUGAGCACCUUGACGUCUAUGAUAGGUAAUAACCAAGGCCAUACAUACCUUACUGAACAGUUUUGGUUUUUCACUAACAUUGUAUUCUUUAAAGAUUUAGACUCACAGAAUUAUUUAGCAUUUUGAGUUGUGUGCUUUAUUUAGCAAGUGAGUAAAAAUAUUGAAAUAUUGAAGCAUUUGCAUAAAAAAGCAAAUGGUAGUGUUUUGCAAUCUGUAUUUUAUUUCCUAUUAAGGUUUUAUAUGUUACUUUCCCAUAGUUCCUGAAUUUGUUAUCCUAUAUACUAUAUAUAAACAGAAACAAGGAUAUUUAAAAAAAAAAAAAAAAAAAUCUGAGAGCUGCGCAGCGGCGCCACCCUGUGGCCACAGGGCUAAGAACGGUGACCCUUAGCUCCCACCUCAUCUGCUCAGCCAAGACCUCCCCUGAGGAGACCCAGGGAGACCUGGGCUCCCGGCAGCAGGAAAGGGGUCUGAACACAAGAGGGCACCCCUACCCCAUGUCACGGUUGGGAUCGGCCGUGUCUGUGUGCAUCUAUUCAUGUGCUCUUUACUAUAUUCCACUGAAUUAUGCCUAUUUUAUACCAAUGUCACACUGCUUUUAAUUACUAGAGGUUUACUCUUAUUCUUUUUUUUUUUAAGAAGAGAAAAAGAAGGGGAAAAAAGAAAAAGAGGGAAAAAGGAAUAUUACUUCAUUCCUAAAAUGGGUUUUAAUAAUGGCCAAUCAAUAUUUUGAGUAUUUAAAGUGGUUAAUGCAUAUUUUAUGUGUUUAAAAUGGAGACCUCUAUUGUGUUUAUUUGUUCUGGCUCUGAGUUCAAGUCCUGGAUAUCGUUAUCAAUUUGUUGUCUCGUUGAAUCUAAAUCUCAUUAUGUGUCUUAUGUAUCUGGGUGUUAAGAUCUCUUAUUGUUACAUUAAUCCUUUUACCCUUGCAUCCUUGCAGCUUUGAAAUCUAUUUUAUUAAGUGUGAGAAUUGCAACUCCUGCUUUUUAUUUAUUUAUUUUUGCUCUCCAUUUGGUUGGUGAGUUUUUUUCCAUCCCCUUGAGUCUUUGUAUAUCUUUAGAUAUAUCGUUAGAUUUUGUGGAUAAUGUAUAUUUUGUGUGUUUAAAAUGGAGAGCUCUAUUGAGUUUAUUUGUUCUGGAUCUUAGUUCCAGUCCCGGAUAUCGUUAUCAAUUUUCUGUCUCGUUGAAUCUAAAUCUCAUUAUGGGUCUUAUGUAUCUGGGUGUUAAGAUCCCUUAUUAUUACAUUAAUCCUUUUACCCUUGUAUCCUUGUAGCUUUGAAAUCUAUUUUGUCAAAUGUGAAAAUUGCAACUCCUGCUUUUUAUUUAUUUAUUUUUGCUCUCCAUUUGGUUGGUACGUUUUUCUUUUCCAACCCUUUAUUUUGAGUCUAUGUAUAUCUUUGGAUAUACUGUUAGAUUUUGUCUGUAUCUUUUGAUUGGGAGAUUUGGUCGGUUUAAAUUUAGGGUUGCUGCCAUUUUAUAUUAACUGGUUAUUUUGUCCUUUCGUUGAUAAAAAUUCUUCUUUAUGUCAAUGCUCUUUACUUUUUGGUGUAUUUUUAGAAAGGGUCAUACUGGUUGUUCCUUUCUGUGUAUAACGCUUCUUUUAGAAGUUCUUGUAAAGCAGGCCUAGUGGUAAUAAAAUCUCUGAGUACUUGCUUGUUCCUAAAAGAUUUUAUUUUUCCUUCAAAUGUAAAGCUUAAAUUGGCAGGAUAUGAAAUUCUGGGCUGAAAGUUCUGUUGAUUAAGUAUAUUGAAUAUUGGCCCCCACUCUCUUCUAGCUUGUAGGGUUUCCAUUGAGAGAUCUGCUGUAAGCCUAAUAGGCUUACCUUUAUGGGUAACUUGAUCUUUCUCUCUGGCUGCCCUUAAUAUUUUCUCCUUCGUUUUGAUCUUGGUGAAUCUAACGAUUAUGUGCCUUGGGGUUGGUCUUCUUGAGGAAUAUCUUUGUGGUGUUCUCUGUAUUGCCUGGGGUUGAAUAGUGUCCUGCUUUGCUAAAUUAGGAAAAUUUUCCUGGAUAAUGUCCUGGAGAGUAUUUUCCAGCUUGAAUUCAUUCUUUCCGUCACAUUCAGGUACACCAAUCAAGCGUAUAUUAGGUCUUUUCACAUAGUCCCAUAUUGCUUGGAGACUUUGCUCAUUCCUUUUUAUCCUUUUUUCUCUAUUCUUGUCUUGUCGUUUUGUUUCAUUAAGUUGGUCUUCGACCUCUGAUACCCUUUCUUCUGCUUGAUCCAUUCGGCUGUUUAAGCUUGUACAUAUUUCACUAAGUUCUCGUGUUGUACUUUUCAACUCCAUAAGUUCAUUUGUAUUCCUCUAUAUUGUCUAUUCUUUUCAACAUUUCAUCUAACCUUUUUUCCAAGUUCUUAGUUUCUUUACAUUGGGUUAGAACAAGUUCCUUUAAGUCUCAGAAGUUUCUUAUCAUCCACCUUUUAAAGCCUACUUCAGAUAAUGGAACACAGUCCUUUUCCAUCAGGGCUUGUUCCAUUACUGAUGAGUCCUUUUCCAUCAGGGCUUGUUCCGUUGCUGAUGAGUCCUUUUCCAUCAGGGCUUGUUCCGUUGCUGAUGGGUUCUGAUUUUGAGUAUACUUGGCCUUCUUAGGCCGUUUUUUUCCCUUCAUUGUAGAUGAACUGCCUUUCUAAUUAGGUUUCUGAGUUGACGUCCGACUUAUUGAUUCCCAGUGCUGGGAUCCGAGCAACCCACUGUGGCAGCCUAAAUAGCAGCGAUAAAACUGAUGGUGCUCUUCUGCCCGGGAAUCUCUGGUCUGGCUUCCCUCUUGAGUCCGCAACAAGCGGCUCUGACUUCCCGGAGCUCCAAACUCCGGUCAGUAGGGGAAGUAGUCCCGUUGGCUCUGCAUGAAGAGCUGCUGCGCCGAGAUGCCGGCAAAACCGCUGCGGCAGCCACAAGAGUCGCGCUGGCGACCCGUGGGGCUCCUCCACUGGGAAUCGGCUAAUCGGUGAGUGACGAAAAUUCGUCUAAAGAUGUGGCGUCGUCUCGUUCUCUGAGCUUUCACUGGGAGCUACAAUCCUGAGCUGUUAGUGGUUGGCCAUCUUGGAUCGAUCUCUACUAGAGGUUUAUAGUAAAUCUUGAAAUCACUCACUAUGCAUCCUCCAAAUUCCUUUUUUUUUUUUUUGAGACGGAGUUUCACUUGUUACCCAGGCUGGAGUGCAAUGGUACGAAAUUGGCUCACCGUAACCUCCACCUCCACCUCCUGGGUUCAGGCAAUUCUCCUGCCUCAGCCUCCUGAGCAGCUGGGAUUACAGGCACACGCUACCAUGCCCAGCUAAUUUUUUGUAUUUUUAGUAGAGACGGGGUUUCACCAUGUUGACCAGGAUGGUCUCGAUCUCUUGAUCUCGUGAUCCACCCAUCUCGGCCUCCCAAAGUGCUGGGAUUACAGGCUUGAGCCACCGCACCUGGCCUCCAAAUUCCUUCUUUUUAAAAAUUAUUUCAGCUAUUCAAACUUACUUGUAUUUCUAUAGAAAUGGUAGCUUCAACUUGUGAAUUUAACAUUUCUUUUAAAGCUCACCAGUGUCUUAAAUGAAAAUGCACUUAAUUUAAUAGCUCAAUCUUGGAGAAGUAGUAACACUGGAUAUUCCAGUUCUUGAAUACACAAUUUCUGUUAAUUUUGAUCUUCUUUACUUUCUGUCAGUAGUGCUUGUAGAUCUUAGUGUAGAAAUUAUACAAACUAUUAAAAAAUUGAUGCCUGAACAUGGUAUUACUUUGCUAAUUUUUAUUUUGAGACAGAGUUUUGCUCUAGUUGCCCAGGUAGAAUGCAAUGACGUGAUGCUGGCUCACUGCAACCUCUGCCUCCUGGGCUCAAAAGAUCUCCUGCCUCAACCUCCUGAGUACCUGGGAUUGCAGGCUUCCACCAUCAGCCUAAUUUUGUACUUUAGUAGACAGAGGAUUUCGCCAUGUUGGCCAGGCUGGUCUGGAACUCCUGACCUCAAGUGACCCAACCACAUUGGCCUCCCAAAAUGUUGGGAUUACAGACAUGAGCCUCUGCACCCAGCCUGUUUUGAUUAUAUUAAUUGAGUUGUGUUAUUUGCAGUUCAUUUGAAUCAAACACUUUCCCAUAAACCAAUAUGGAAUGACAUAUUUUUUUUAAUUUGUCUUUGAAUUUAUUAACUUCUUGCACCUAAUUUUUGGUCUUUGUUCAAGAGAAAUAUGCUUGGUUCUUUUUUCUAAUUUUGUUGUGUGAAUUUUCUUUUUUUAAUGUGAGUAAUAUUGGCCUCAUAAAUCCAGUUGAAAAUAGUUGCCUCCUUUAAUUUCUAAAAAGGUGUGUGUAAAAUUGAUGUUAUUUUUCAACUGUGUGUUUCAUACAAUUCCUCAGCAAAGCCUUCUAGACCUUCUGUAUUCUCUGUGGGAAGGAUUUUAAUUACAAAUUCAAUUUCUACAAUUUAUAUAUGGCUGGUCACAUUUUCUGUUUCUUCUUAGGUCAGUUUUCACGACUUUUCUCUCUCAAGGAAAUUGUUCAUUUGGAUGUCAAGCUUAUUGGCACAAAAUUAUUAAUAUUCCUUUUCUUGACCUGAAGGUCACAGUGGUCUGAGGUUCUUUUAUUCCUGAUAUUGUUACUUUGUAUUUUUUUGUUUUGAUCAAUCUAGCUAGGGUUUUAUAAAAUUUACUGAUUAUUUUCCCACACAACCAACUUUAGGAUUAAUUUUAUUUAUCUUUCAAAGUAAUUUACUUGUUUCAUUAUUUCCUUCCUCUGCGUGCUUUGGUUUAAUUUGUUCAUUUUUGUUUUUUACAGCAGAAGCUAAGUUACUAAUUUGACAUCUUCUUUUUAAAUCAAGGUACUUAAAAAUGUCAAUUUUUCUCUAUUAUUUCAGCUGCAUCCCACAGAUUUUGAUUUAUUGUACUUUAAUAUCCUUCAGUUAAGAGGAUUUCCUAAUUUAUCUUGUGAUUUCUUCUUUGACAAAAUUGUCAUUUAGAGUUUUGAUGUUUAAUUUCCAAAUACUUAGUAUUUUUACAAUCAUCUAUCUUAGUUUAUUUGGGCUCCUGUAACAGAAUACCAUAGUCUGUGUGGAUUAUAAACAAAAGAAAUCUAUUUCUCACAAUUCCAGAGCCUGGGAAGUCCAAGGUCAAGACAAUAGCAGAAUGAGUGUGUGAUUAAGGGUGUUUCCAGAUUCACAGAUGGUGUCUUUUCUUGGUGUUCUUACAUGGUGGAAGGGGCAAAGAAACUCAAUGAAAUUUAUUUUAUAAGAACACUAACCUAAUUAACAAGGGAUCUGCCCUCAUGACUUAAUCACCUCCAAACACCAUCACAUUAGGGAUUAGGUUUAAAUAUAUGAAUUUAGAAAAUGACAAAAACAUCCAGUCCACAGGAUCACCUUAUUGCUACCAAUUUCUAAUGCGUUUUCAUAUGGUCAGAAAAUAUGUCUUGCAGGAUGUCAAUAUUUUCAAAUGUAUUGUUUGAUGGCCUGAAAUAUAGUUUCUCUUGGUAAAUGUAUCAUUCACACCUGAAACUAUAUUUUUUCAUUGAUGUUCAUAUGUAUUUAUAUACAUAAAGUCUGUGUGGUUAAUGCUUGUUUUUCUAGGUUAUUUGUUGGAAUUUUCUAUAGUUUUUAAAUUUAUUGCUAAAGUUUUAACAUAUCUAAUCAUGCUCAUAGAAUUCUCCAUUUCUCUCCGUAAUUUUGUCCAUUUUUUUGUGAACUCUGAAGUUAAGCUAUUGGGUGGAUUUCUGAUUGCAUGUCUUUUUGUUGUAUUGAUGCUGUUGUUAUUAUGAAAUGUCUCUUUUUUAUCUCUGGUGAUACAUUUCAUUUGAAAAUCU
Callithrix jacchus (white-tufted-ear marmoset) is the source of this 8439-nucleotide non-coding RNA. The record is from RefSeq and is a predicted model, not a curated record. NCBI's taxonomy places the organism in Eukaryota, Metazoa, Chordata, Mammalia, Primates, Cebidae.